RNAcentral lists this ribosomal RNA (492 nucleotides) under uncultured bacterium. RNAcentral describes it as "partial 16S ribosomal RNA". It matches the Rfam family "Bacterial small subunit ribosomal RNA", at positions 29 to 507 of the family's 1533-position model. The record is from RNAcentral.
AGUGAACGCUGGCGGUAGGCCUAACACAUGCAAGUCGAACGGCAGCACAGUAAGAGCUUGCUCUUACGGGUGGCGAGUGGCGGACGGGUGAGGAAUACAUCGGAAUCUACUUUUUCGUGGGGGAUAACGUAGGGAAACUUACGCUAAUACCGCAUACGACCUACGGGUGAAAGCAGGGGAUCUUCGGACCUUGCGCGAUUGAAUGAGCCGAUGUCGGAUUAGCUAGUUGGCGGGGUAAAGGCCCACCAAGGCGACGAUCCGUAGCUGGUCUGAGAGGAUGAUCAGCCACACUGGAACUGAGACACGGUCCAGACUCCUACGGGAGGCAGCAGUGGGGAAUAUUCGACAAUGGGCGCAAGCCUGAUCCAGCAAUACCGCGUGGGUGAAGAAGGCCUUCGGGUUGUAAAGCCCUUUUGUUGGGAAAGAAAAGCAGCAGGUUAAUCCCCCGCUGUUCUGACGGUACCCAAAGAAUAAGCACCGGCUAACUUCGUG